Molecule: long non-coding RNA, 29069 nt
Filed under: Musa acuminata (dwarf banana)
Lineage: Eukaryota; Viridiplantae; Streptophyta; Magnoliopsida; Zingiberales; Musaceae
Description: long non-coding RNA (MACU_LNC001170)
Source: RNAcentral
CACUUUACAAUUGGGUAAAGAAGGCAAUGCUUGGAGAACAUGGUAAUUUGGAUGAAACAACACCAAAAGACCUAAGAAAACCUGGCUGGUUGGUUGACUUUAGUGUACCCAUCAGAUGUCUUAAAAUGAUAUAGGACACCUCUCCAAAAUCCUUGGCUACUUUUUGAGAAACUAAAUCAGUUGUUCAAUCCAAUUUCAAUCUGAGCCCUAAUUCUUUGUGACCAAUACUGAUAUAUUUCUUUUUUGUCUUGCAACUUCAAAGAAGUGUGCAGUUGUGUUCAUGGCAAUUCUGCAAAAUCCCUAGUUCUUUGUAAGUUUCACCAGGCAUUGAUUUGAUGCAAUCAUUAGGUAUGGAAGCAGAAGCUAACCCAAAUGGGAGCUGUGGUUGAUGAUAACCUCUCAAAGAGAGUUACUCAUAUUUUUGCAAUGAACUCUAGUACGCUUCUACAGCAAGUGAACCUGGAACGCUUGCAUCGACAUGAAGGAGUGAGUUUCUUCUUUGUACUGGUUACUGUUUAGAUGAACAUCAAAGGUUCUUUCCUGAUUUUGUUAAUCUUUUUGUUCUAGAUUAUUCAGAUAUUGGGAUGUAAUAUCAUGUGAGUCUGUUCAAUUUAUGACAUUGACAAUACUAUCUAGAAACAGCGACAAAAUGAAGCAAUGGACCUUUUCACCUAUCAUUUCUGGAUAUGGAGAAAGAACAUGCAGUUGGUUGUGUUUAUAUUAUGAAAAAAAAAUGAAUCUCAAAAGCAAAAAAAGAUCACAUCAUGACACAUUCAGUUACUGAGAUAUAUCCAUACACAAAUGUGGCUUGGUAUAAUCACACACAUGGUUUAUAGCAAUGGGAGUGGACAGGAAGUUAUAAUAACAAAAAGUAUGGACAAAAACACAAAGAGAAACUUUUUAUCUCAUAAAAUAAAAGCAGACAAAUUUUCAGUUUUCUGCUCCAUAUAAUUAGAAAUCUAAAAUAACUUAAUUUCCUAGCUUGUAUUGGAAUAGAUGUAUACUACCACACAAGGAAGUCCGUUGGACUGGUACAAAUGGGCAAUACGUGCCGGUUAGGGCCUGGACCAGUACAUGGACAAUGCCACGGUUGUCGUUCGCAUCGUCGUUGCCGUUCGAUGCCACCACUACCAUUUGCCAUUGCCUACCUCCUCAGUAUUCUCCCUCAUCUUCUCCUUUUCUUCUUCUUCCUCCUCCACUGCUUCUUCCUUCUCCUCUUCCUCGAUCGCCUCUACCUUCUUCCUUCCUCUUCCUCCUUAUUCCUUCUCCUCUUCCUCUAUCGCCUCCUCUUCUUCCUUUUUCUUGCUUCCUCUUUCUUUUUCUUCCUCCUUCCUCCACUAUGGCCUUCCUCUUCUUCUUUUUCGACUUUGAAACACCAAAAUGUCUGGUGUACCAUGUGUUGGUGUCAACCAUUACGUACCAUUCCGACCAGCGAUUGGUACAAGUUCGGUACACAAUACAACAUUCUUUGCAACUACAUACAAUUCAGUCUGAGUUUGUUGGCAUCCUUAUUAGACAUAAGGUGACCAUUUAUUAAUUAAAAUUUCAGUUGAAGUUUCAUCUAUGUUGUUUAAAUAAUUUUGAUUCCAAAUAAGUGGCAUUUUUGGUAAAUUCUAUGAGGAAUAAUUUUUGUAGUAUUAUUAAUACUUAGGAUUCACGCUUUAAUAAUUCUUGUAGUAUUAUUAAUAUUUAGGACUCAUGCUUUAAUAAUUCAAUUAGAUACUAGGGUGCAUUUAUAUAUUUAUAUUUCUCUACUGACAGCAUGCGAUAUGCAUGUGAGAUUACUGAUGCUACAGCAAUACAAGAAAUACAUUGAAGUAAAGCUCACAUUAGAAAUCACAAUUUCAAACUACCACCAAUCUUCAUUUUUGAAGGAGUACAAAGCAUUCAAUUAGUCAUAAAUUUUUUUGGAGUCGAAAUUCCAUUUUUAAAGUAUAUGAAAUAAUUGGUAGAAGUAGAACAGUGCAUUUGUUAACAUGCUGACGACAAAAUGAUUCUGAAUAUCUUUGUUCUCCAUCUGUUUGUAUCUUUCCUUAUUAGAGCUGUUAUUAUAUAUAUACAACCAUAUGAAGGCUUGGUUGCCAAUUGCCAUCAGUCUCUGUUAGGUAUUAUGUUACUGACUUUAUAUAUACUAUCAUGAUAGUACAAUUCUGAUUUAAUCAAAUAAUGUAAUUCUGUGAUAUUCUAUCAUGAUCACUGCAUAAUCUUUUUUUGUUUUGUUUUGUGGAGAAGAGGAUCUGCUUGUUCUUUUAUCAUGAUCUAUGAUAUAAAAUAUUUCAGUAUCAUAAUGUUAUUCCAUCAAUUAGAAGUUUAUCUACCUCUACUAGCUUUAUACAGAUUUAUCAAUGAGCAUACUUUUUUCAUGUUAUAUCUAGCAUGUAUUUGGAAAAUGAAGAUACAUAAUUGUUUGCACAGUGUUCCUUUUGCAAUUUAUUGUGUUUUAUUAACCAUUCACUUGAUUGGCUUGAUCUUUCUGUUGCAAUAAGCAGACCUCAAAAAUAAAAAAAAGAAUAAAUGCUUAACCAAACUAAGAGAAACUAUCAAAGCAUUACAACUUUCUUGCAUUAGUUGAUCAUGAUACUGUACAACUUUCUAGGAUAUCACAGUGCGAACUCGAGGAUCAUAUCAGGGAUUCUUUAUAUGAUAGAAAGGUUAAAAUUCAAAAUCCAAUCAUUGCUGCAUUACUAUAUCUAAUUUCUUUAAUGGGAAGAUACCAGAAUUUUUGUUGAUAUACUGGUAUUUUGGUCAUGUCCUUGAACUCUUAUGUUGGAAGUAAUCGUGAAUUCAUCAUGUUGUUUUCUUAACACAAUUGAUCCCUAGGAAAAAUGUAGGUUCUGUAUUUUCAAUUUUUCUUUUAUCAAUUUUUGCUGGAUACUGUCUACAUACUGCUUUUAAAAAUUAUGAAAUGCCUCUUUUGGCUUUUUCUAUCUCGUAUUGUAACUUAAAUGGAAAUUUAUACUUAAUUCAUCAUUAGCUAUUCUAGAACAUCUUAUUUUCAAAAUGCUGCUGCAGAGUUUACUUCAUUAUCAAUGGUUAGAGAACUGUCUAAGAUUAGGAGAAAAAAUAGCUGAAGAUCCAUAUGUGCUGAAGUUUCAAGGUGUUAAUAGAUCAGAUAAGCACUCUGGCAAGAUAUCUCCUGAACCAUCUGAAGCUAGAUAUUCUGAUGAUGAGCUGUCAAGCCACAAAAGGAUCAAAGUUUCCUCUAAGGUUGUGGAAGGAUCAAGCAUGGAAGAAAAUAGAGCCAAGAAAGCAGACUCAACUAGAUCAGAAAAUCAACACUCUGGCGUUCAUGGUCAAGUUGAGGGUCCAUCAACGAGCAAUGACAGUUUACAAGAUACCAAACUUGGGACUGAUGCUUCUGGUGCACCAACAAACAAGGUGUUUACAUUUGGGUUUUUUUCAUAGAUCUUACUGUCAUAUGUUUUGAAUUAACUUAAGAACAGAAACAGAUCAUAAGUUAGAUCUUCUUCAAAUCUUAAUUUUGGAUAAAACUAGAAGGGAGAAAACAUUUACAGAGAAAUGUGGUUUUUUUAACAUUCCUAAGCUUCUUUCAAAUUUUGUAGAAAGUAACACAACAAAUUCAUGCUAGUAUCUUCCUUUCUGUUAAGCCAAGAUGAUCUUUAUGUACCAACUCAUGGCUGCUCCAGCCUAACUUUCAUCAUUGUGCCCUGACCAUGCUUCCAAAUUCCAGGUCUGCUUAUGCAACUACACUGGUAUAUAUCAACUUAAUUCCCACUGUGGUUUUGACACCAGACUAGGCGACUUUCAUCUUUUGAUAAUGUUUUUUUGGGGAAAAUCAUGGUUGUUUUCUUGCCAAAACAUCUUCCAUUUCACCAAUGUAAUUAUUCAGCUGCCACUAUUGUUCUUGCUGUACCACCUUGCUAUUUCAUAUUGCAUAUGUUCUUAAUACCAACUUUACCGAUGUGGCCCUUGUUUGGCCACUGAAUUUAGAUUUACAGUCAGUAUAGCCUUCUGUAUUGGGGCCCUCUCUGCUACCAACUUAAACAGUUUUUCAUUAUUGUCUUUGGAAUAUCUCUUUUGCAAAAUAUUCUUUAAUUUUAUUCUUGGCAAUUAUCGACAAAAUUCUCCAACAGUGUCACAUGUUUUUUUUCUUCUGAUUUUGAUGAAAUAAAAAUCAUCAUUUGUCGCAAUGAAAUUGUUGAGGCAGAUCUCAGCAUUUUUUAUGUUGCUUGUUUGUUCUUUUUGUGGAGACUUAUGGAGGAUUUCUGCAUAUCCUAAGGGUCAUAUCUUGUGUGUUAUCAGGCUGAUGUGUCUCAGUCACAAUCUCCAUACAACCCACCAGAUCUGAACAGGAACAUUACUGAAAUAUUUGGAAAGCUGAUCAACAUUUACAGAGGUACACAGGAAGAGUGUCUGAAAUUACACAAUUCCUCUCAGUCCUGACACUCCUAAUGAUUGUUUCUCUGCAGCAUUAGGAGAUGAAAGGAGGUCAUUCAGCUACUACAAGGCCAUUCCUAUUAUUGAGAAGUUGCCUUUUAGAAUUGAAAGUGUUGAUCAGGUCAAAAAUCUUCCUACAAUUGGGAAGUCAUUGCAGGACCAUGUAAGCAAAUUCUUUCAAUUGCCAAGUAAAUUUGUUCAGUAUCCAUUUGCUUUGUGGGUAUGAAGACAAUCAUGUAUUUCUUUUCCAAGGUGAUAUUCCAUACUAUUAUUAGUUCUGCAGGAACAAGUCCACCUUACGUAUUUCCCAUAUAUUGAUCUUGUAAUUAUUUCAUGUAUACAAUUUGGUUCUCAACCUUUUUGUGACAAUACAAAAUGCUGUGAUAAAGGACUAGUUGAAGAAUUUGUUAGGAUGAGUUUUUCAUGGAUUUUAUAAGGUUUGUCUCAAUAAUUAACACAAUAUAAGGUGAUAUGGGUGAAGAAAUAUUUCCUUAUUUUUAUGGAAAGAGUUCCCUUGUCAUCAUAUUGUACUUUAUAUGACCUACCAUUCUCUAAGGUGUAGAGUUACAUUUCGUUUUAUCAUUUUGAAACACUAACGUGAAGCACCAGUAACCCCACAUUCCCAUAUUUUAUGACUUUAAAUAAUUCUGUAAAAAAGACAGUCUAAUAUUUUAUGGAAAUUUACAUGCUUAUUUUUGUGAUAACCCUUUCCUAGGAACCAGGAAGUACACUCAUAUCUGUUCUCUUGAGAAGUAUAUCUAAGCUGUUGGUUUAGGGUGAAUAUUACAGUACAAUCAUCAUUGGACAAGAGAAGCUAUUAUUUUAUGCAUUUACAUGAUUCUGAUAAACUGGGAGAUAAUAUGAUUACCAUCCACUAAUCACUAGUGCUAGACACAAAUAACAUACAUGAGUGGUUACUUACCUGUUUAUGCCACUUUGUCCAUGAUCUUAUGUCAUGGCCGUUAGCAUUAGACUGGUACCGUUGUUACUUGUCUAUCCAGGGAGUCAAUGGUUUGAUUUUUCUUUAAAAACACUAUUUAAAAUUAUGGUUAGUAAAGGGCUCCAACUUUUGUUUUAUGAAUUUCUAGUUAUUCCUUUCUUCUGAAUUCAUCUACUUCUAAGUGGAAUAUUAUAAAAAGAAUGACAUUUAUCUUGACCUAUGCUUAUUGUUUAUUAAUUUAAUCAAUUACAAAACAACAAUAACAGCAACACUUAGUGUACAACAUGCGCUACCAUGGAACUUAAUAUUUGACCUUUGCAUUGGUUUCUGACUGUUAGCAAUUUUGGAAAGUUUAUAGUUAUCAUUUUCGUUGAUUGCACACCCAGAAAGGUUCUGUACGUUCCAAGUUUCCAGACAGUCUUUUAUACAUUUCCACAACCAAAUAAAAAAAUAUUCAUUAGUGAUUGAAUAAUUUAUUCUGAGUGGCACUGAUGUGCUUAUAUAUUGCCUCCCUGAUGAAGAGGCCUUGCCCUGAAAAGUGAAAAGGAAAAAGGGAAAAAGAUACUAGUUCUGUUAAUACCAAAAAUUUUGUUAUUGUACCUGUAUUAAGGACAGUUUCAUAUAUGAUUAGUCGGUUGCCAUAAAAUUUUCUGUUUCCUUCUAUUUAUUUAUUUGUAACUUCAUGCAUGGCUCAAGAUGAAUAAUUGUGGUUUGCAGAUUCAUGAAAUAGUGACUACUGGAAAGUUAUCUAAAUUGGAGCACUUUGAGAAUGAUGACAAGGUAAUGAUAUGCUCCUAACUUCAAUAUUAAUUUUAACAUUCCAUGUAUACUUGCUUUGAUAACAACUAGUUUGCCACUGGAAGGUUAAUUUACAUUAGCAUAUGUUGGAACUUAAUACAUACUUUUUAUUUGGAGGUUGGCACAAAGCAUGAGGCUCCUACCAAGGCGGGGUCUGAGGAUUUGAGCAGAUAGGCUUUGUUUUAACCUCGAACCUAUUAAUCCAUAGAUUGUAGAGGAGCAAUCUUUAAGGCUAGCCCUUGAAUAAACUACCCUAUCUUCUGCAUUAUAAAACUCCGUAGACCAUUUUAAUCUCUAGAUUCAUUUAGCUAAAUUUGGAAAACAAGUCUUGUUUUCUUAUUAUAGCAGAUCAAGUGAAACUUAUUGUCAAAACAUAAAGCUUAGUGUAACUUGUGUAUCUUUGUAAUCUAGUGCAAGUGCUAGAGGUUCAUGUAAUAUUUCAAGUAAAAAUUUUGGCACCAAGGACUAUGAGAGAUAACGACACGAGGCACUCCUGAAUAUUAAAAUUUUUAAAAAUAUAUUAUGAUUAUAAAUAUGAUCACAAAAAUAAAAAUGACAUAUUAGAUUGCAAUCCUAUAAAGUAUCAAAUUAUAUUAUCCAAAUCUAAUAAUAAAAAUGUCAAAACAAAAUAAGACUAACAUUAAAUUCAAUGAUCAUCAUAAUCAAGUAAAUCAACUUCAUCAUUUUUAAACUUAUCAUCAUUUUCCUCUUUCUCAUCAGUUGAUUUAUAUUUCUCUUGUUAAUCUUCAUCAAUAUAGUUUUUUUCCUUUCAACAAUGGUUGGUGGUGAACUUAGGCUUUUGUACUCAUCUUUGUCUUUGUGAGUUGCCUUAUGCAUAUUCUUAUUUUUCCAAUACCUAAAGCUCUUGUUACAUCUCCCUAGGUCAAAUUAUUAUAAUUAAAUAUAAGCUCAUCUUUGGCAUUUUGUUAGUUAGCAUCAAUUUCUCCCCACCAACCAUUCAUUUGAAUCAUCAAUAUCUUGUAAUAGGAUUGGAUCAAUAAUAUAUUGCAAAUUAUAACGAGUCUUUAGUGCUUGAUUAUAUUUUAUAUAGACUUGAGCAUGUAAUCAUUGAUGCCCCAAUUGAUAUUUCUUUUUAUAUGAAUCUAUCAUGUUAUAAAAUUAAAUAUAUAUUAAUAAAUCUAUUUAAAAAAGAAUAGAUUAGUUGAAACUAAAAUAUUCUUAUAUAGCUACAUUCUCAAAGAUACCCUAACUUCAUUUAACCAAAUAAGCUUCACCAUUCAGUUGUAAAUUUUAAUUUCAUUAUUAAUAAUAACACACUAUAUGUUUUUAUAUGAUGUUAAUUAUAUGAAGUUAUAUUUGGGAAUUUAGUUGUCAAACUAUCAUAUUAAUUCCUUAGGAUUCUUAUAUAAAGAUAAUAUGUUGCUAAUCUUAUCUUAAACUUUAGUGCUUAGAACUAAUCUUGUAAUGUGCUAAUAUAACCCAUAUAGAAUUUCUACAUAAAACUCAAUAGUGGAGUUUUUAUAAAAGAAUUUUGGGUCUAAAUAGUGUCUUGCUACAUGUAGUGGAUUAUGAAGUUGACAUUCCUAUCUUUUGUCUAUGAUUGUAAAUAUAUCCUUGUGCUUUUCUUUAUUUCUACCAAAAGAAUUUUGAAUCGUUUUCUUAGCUCUAUCCAUUGCUUCAUAAAUAUAUCUCAUUCUUUUCAUUAUUUGCAAGCCGAAAAACUCGAACAAGAGGGCUCGUUACUUGUAAUGUAUAGACCAUGAUUCCAAAAGGAUGACAUUAAUAUAAUAUUGUUGGCCCUGUUGCCUUUUGCAUCUUUUGCUUAUUUACUUGUUACCCAUUUCUCUGAGGUAAAAAUAAUUCUAAGGUUAUGCUUUUGUCAAUUCACACUUUGCAAUGUUAGAAAUGAAGUAGUAAAUUGCAUAAGACUAUGCCUCACCAAAUCUUUGUUGCUUGUAAAUUCUCUCAUCAUAUUUAAAACCCCAAUAUGAUUAUAUAGAAGUUCAAUGACAAAAAUCUCUUUUUCUAAGGUCUUCAUUAUGUCUGCAAUAUUUUCAAUAUUCUCCAACAUUAGAUCAAUGCAAUGUGCUGUGCAUGGUUUCUAAUUUCGAAUGAUACAGCCUGGUACGCAGGGUUUUUAAUUUUGAAUGAUACCGCCCGUAUCGGGUGGUACGUACCGAGCGGUACGUACCAGUCCGUCAGCAAAUCGGUACGCGGACCGCCCGCUACUGGGCAAUACCGUGGAUUGGGGCUGUUCCCGCCCCGUUACCACUUGAAAUCGGUCGGUGACGGUCAAUUUUGACCGUCGCCGUCCACUACCGAGCGGUAUUAGCCGAGGGAGAAGGAAAAAGAGAGAGAAGAAGAGGGAGAAGGAAAGGGAGAACUUGGCGAUCUGGCGUUGCUCUCCCUCAACGAUCUUGAUUCGUCGUUGUCGUCCCUCGCCGGACGCUACAAAUGAGAUGUCACCUCCUCCUCGUCUUAGGUGAUGAGGCCUCAACGUCGUCGGCGACUUCUCCUAAUCUGUGAGGGGAGAAGAAGCCUCGGUGUGGGGAGAAGAAACUUUGGUGACGUCGUCGAGGCUUCACGAGGAGACCUCGGUGUCGUUGGCGACUUCUUCUAAUCUAUACGGGGAGAAGAAGCCUCGGUGUGGGGAGAAGAAACGAUGCCACAUUGCCUCGACGAUGUCGUCGCUUUUUUUUAUUUUUUUAACCUUUAUUUAUUAUUAUUAUUAUUAUUAUUAUUUUAUAUAUAUAUAUAUAUAUAUAUAUAUAUAUAUAUAUAUAUAUAUGCCAGAUCAUACAUCUCGGUAUACUCGUACCAUAUCAUAUUGAGCUGAACUCGAUACUUCGGUACGGUACGAAAUUACGAACCUUGGUACCGUGUACGGAGUCUAAUACAAGUGUUGUCUUUUUACUUGGAGUAAUUUACCUAAGAAAGAGGAUAAUAAUAUUGAUAAUACAUAAGAGUCACAUAGUUGCUUUCGUUCAAAUAGGCGACAUAGAGUAAUUAAAAGUUUUAAACAUUCAAAAGCUAAAUUUUACUUGUUAAAACAUGUUGCUUCCAUUAUUAGUUAUAAUUUGAACAACUUUUUGUUCUCCAAUUUCUUCUACAAACUUGUUAAACAACUCAAAUGUCGGUUCUCCAGAUUUCAUAAAAGAAGAUGCAUCUAUUGACUUCACAAACAUGGUUCCCAAAAAAUAGUUGAUCAUAAUUAAUUAUAAUUGUUUCAUCCUUCUCUUAUUAAUCCAGAAAUAUGACAUAAUAGAGUAAUCAUGCUUUGCCUAUGUUUCCUUAUGACCCUUCAAUAAAUCAUUUGUGUACUUCAACUAUUUUUUUAGUAAUAAAACUCUUAACUCAUGAUAACUUAGAGGUUUUAAUUUAGGACCACAUCUUUCAAUAGCUUUAAUCAUAUGUUUAAAAUUGUCUAAAUGAGAAGCAUUAAUGUGAGAUGCGAGCAAUGUGUUGAAUCAUUCUUGCCCUUAUUUUCUUAUCACAAGCAUCAUUUAUACCUGUUUAUCUUAGUUUUGCUUUUUCUGACCUUUUAUAGCUUUUUUUUAUUCUUGAAACAUAUACAAGUCCAUCGGUCCCCUUUUUUUGUUGUUGAAGUUUUAGCCUUUUUAGCAAUCACAAUUUCUUUUCCUUUUCUUCCGGAUACUCUUUUCCCACUGGCAUUGGCAUUUUUUAAAUGACCUUCCUCUUCAUUAUCAUCUCUAAUAUAUAGAGUAUCAUUAUCCUUAGGUAAAAUCAAGGUUCGUCGUGCCAUGGUGUAUCACUUGAUACGGGCUGUACGUACCAAUCCAAUAGAGGAUCGGUAUGGGCAGCACAUACUAAUUUGUUAAUACACCCCACUGUACCAUGUGUUGGUACGUACCGUAUCGAUGGCUGAUCGGUACACCGGUACAGACUGUUAAGGCGAACCAUGGGUAAAAUCCCAUAAGAUUUGUUCUUUUUUACCUUUUUAUCAUUUAUAUAAGCCAGUAACUCUUUUUAUAUAUCAGGUGGACACUUUUUGCAUAGUGAUGCAUUCUUGAAGUUCCCUACAUGAUUUACUUUGCAUGAAAAAUGUUGCCUUUAGUAGUUUUUUUGCAAAACAUACGAGUCACAACAUUAGGAUCUUUAGGAUCAUUUAGAUAGUUGCAUUUUCAACUGGGAUCCUUUCUCGAGUUUUUUGCCGAUGAUUCUUCUUAAUUACUCUCUACACUUGUUAUUAUUUCCUGAAAUAUAAAAAGGAUCAGACAUUGAAGGCGAAAUACAACGUUAAUAACAACAGAUCAUGUAGUAUGUUGCAAGCCUACAACUAUAAGGUGUUGUUUGCCCCAAUAGGGUGCUUAAAUCAAGUUCAUUUCCAUCUAUUAGGGUAAUAGAAAUUCCCAAAAGGGUGUUGUUUUGCAAGAAAUAAGAGUAGAUAUCGAAGGUGCGAUGUUUGUAUCUUCCAUUAUACUGUUAUGUUCUAACUCUUGAUAAUGUACCCACCUCAAGGUGCAGGAAAUUUAACAAAGUGCAAGAAAUAAAAUAGGAAAUAGGAGAUCCUUAGAGGUGCAGGAAAUAGGAGAUCAUCUGACAAAGUUGUUGUUGUUACCUAUAAAUUGAGAAAGAGGAGGAGAUGGAGUAGUGACCAAUUGGUGAAAGGCUGUGGAGUAUGGCACCGAGGAAGGCAGCAGCGAACAGAACGAAGGUGGCAAUCGACAAAGGUAGUGGUUAGGGUGGAGGAAGGUGGUAACCAAUGGCAGAACGAAGCUGGUCGAUGACGUAAGCUCACACGGUAGAGAAAUAAAGCUAUAGAUGACAACAUAGGGCAGAGGAGGCUCACGCCAGGGUUUAUUCCAUUGGGUUCCUUUCGCUAGGUUGGGCGUGGUGUUACGAACGGUCGUCGCGCACCUGCAACAACUUCGUUCAACGAACCGUUCGUCACUUUUGCAUGCUUGUACAGAUACAUGACAGCAUGUUUUGCCUUGGUUUUGUGUGUUUUUGCUUGAAAAAUAUAAGCAACGAUAGUUCGCGGCGCUGUAGUGCGAUUGCUCGCCGCGUCGGACCAAACUGUCCCAAAAUGGCUCUGUUUUCGCGUGCCAUAACCUGUUUUCUGCAGACCGUAGCCUCACGCAAAACGUCAGCCAUCUCAGUACCUUGAAACCCCCUAGGUGGCACCAGGGGGGAUGGAGCUUCGGGGUAGUGUCAGGCGUUGAACAAUCUUCACAAGUUCGCAUGUUAACUUGACGGGAACUUGCCUUCGCGCCUGACACCCGAUGAGCAGUUGUUUACAGACUUGCAAUUAUUUGUUCAACCUUCUAAAGUCCUUGUUUUUUCUUCCUUUCUUUUCUCUCUUGUACUUAAGGUGCUCGUUGAAUUGCUUGUAAAAUUCCCUCUUCGCGAGACGUUGGGACUUGUCCGUCGCUCGUUUUCAAACUAAUCAACUUUAUAUUUUGCAUAUUAGUCAUUCCAUCUCCUUUUUUUUGCUGGCUCAAUCUUUGAGUCUUCAUUUAGACUAAAAUUUCAGAGUCAUGCCAUCAAAGAAUUUGCAAAAUAUGAAGCACAUUUGGCAGACAAAUGGCUGCUUUUGUGGUAGUUAUACAGAGACCACUUCACUCAUUUAUUUGGUGAUAUAGAACAUUUCGAAGUAUCAUCUGAUGAUGCUGAUUCACUAUCAACAGGUAUUAAUGACAUGCAUAAGGCUAGUAGUCACUCUAGAAGCUAUCUCAGAACACUCUUAGAUUUAAUUCCAAGUCAAGGUUUUUAGAUUAUUGAAAAAAAUGGACACUACCUUUAACAAAAUAUGCAAGUUGGCGCCGACACGGGCAUGAUGAUUUGAAUCACAAAACAGCUUUAAAUGAUCAUAUGAAUUCUAAAUUUUAGGGUUUUAUGUAUGAUUUGAUUAUUUUUUUUAUAAUGUUUCUCAGCAGCUAAUUCUUUGCCCAAAUAUCAGAAAUUUUCCUAACAAGAUCAAACAUCUUUUCCUUAACAUAUGAUUUCUAAAGACGAUAGACUGGUGGACAGAAGAAAUCUGACACAGGUGUGCUAGGGAACAUUUCAAUCUACACGGAUUCUUCAUAAACACCAAGAAUCAAUUCAUAAUACUUCCAUUCUUUAGCAUCAAGAAUCAGACCCAAAGAGCAAGGUACAAUCGACAGAUUCACCACAACUGGACAAGAUCUUUACUAGACAUCUACGACAUAGCUGUGGGAGAAGGAAUCCCCCAACGAGAGAUCCCACCUCUUGUUCCAAGAAACCUAAGCCCGCUGCCUCUCUUGUUCUCCCAUUGAGUCGACACUUAAGCCAUGCAUAGGCAAUAGGGCAGGAGACAAACACAGUAAACUAGAGUGCAAGGAAGGUGGGAUCUUGGACAGUAAGAUCUCAAGAACAUCUACGGUGUACCUCCAGGAGAAGGAAACCCCUGAAAGAUCCCACCUUUGAUAUCAAGAACCCUCUCAUCCCGAUCGGGCAACAACCGAUCCAGUUUUAAAUAAGAGCAAAGGGAAAAAAACGAUACCACAUAAACAACCCCAAGAAAUUCCAAAAUCAACAGAAAAGAAGAAAUUUGUCAACACAACUCACAAAUACCAGAAUUCUUUAAUUUUACACAACUUAUUUUAUGUGUCUAGAACAAUUUGGCUUAUUAUAUUUCAUAUUGAUGUAAGAUCAGGAUAAACUAUCAAAUAAACAUGAAUCAUGAUAUGAGAAGAGAACCAAUAAAGCAGAUAAGAGGAGGAUCCCUACAUUGAUCUUUAUUUCACUCUAGCAGCUCCUGUCCUCCUCCUUUGAUGCCAUGCUAUCUAUCAUGAAAGAGGGCGAAUGACUGCUAUAAAUACAGGGUGAGGUGGUUAAACCCUAUACCUAUGUUUACUAAUGAAAUAAAAUUAUUAAUUUUCCCCUAAUUAAAAUUAGGGUAUUACAGUAUUGUACAACUUCCAAUGGAGAGCCUUUAUAGGCUAGCUUCUUUUCUCAUUCCAGAUUAUCAAACUCAUAAGUCCCUUAUUCAUGUUCUUUGCUCUUUAAGUUAUUCCGGGGUAAUAUUUAAGUUUUUAAAUAGGCUUUGCUUAUGAGCUAGAUUGCUUCUGGACCUUUAAACAUUAUUAUGUUUGUGUGAGUUUGAUUUGUUUAGAUUUGCUGAAGAGACCUAAAAAAAAGGCUGAAGUUGACUCAAUUGGAAAUUCAUUGUCUUUUGGAAGAAAGAAUCUUACAAAAUGUAUGUCUGUUUAUGCUCGUCUCCCUUUUCAUAAAUGUUUUUCAUGAUGAUGAUAACUAAUUUGUAAUUUCUUUUACAUCCUAUGCCUUUUAUCGUAUGAUAACAUAUUUUAUUUUUUUAAUAUUCUAUUCUCCUUUGAAUUUUGCUACUUUUUGCCUUUAUAUUUUGUGAUCUCAAUCCUUGUUGUCUUGAAGGUUCGGACAGUAAACCUUUUUGGUGAAAUUUGGGGUGUUGGUCCUGCCACUGCUCUUAAAUUAUAUGAAAAAGGUCACCGUAACCUUGAUGAUUUAAAACAUGAUGACUCAUUGACAGCUGCUCAGAAGAUAGGUCUGAAGUACUUCGAUGAUAUAAAGACAAGAAUUCCACGACAUGAGGUGCAAAAUAUGGCCUUCUAUUUUGUUUCUUUUCAUUUCUAUAAUCUUUGACUUAACUUUUUUUUUCUUAAAAUUGAGGUUAAAGAUAUGGAGAUGCUUUUACAAAAUGCUGGUCAGGAGGUUUUGCCUGGGGUGAGUAUACUUGAAAAUAUCUAAUUUGUACUGAUUUGUGUAUAUAUAUUAUAUACGUGAAAAAGUAUAUAUGUUUUUCAGAAAACUGUUGUUUUUCCAUAUUGUUGAAGCAUUUGUUUUCAAUUGUCCAUACUGGCGCUUCUGAUACAUAUAAAUUUCUUAAUUGUUUUUGGCCAUUUGCAUGUAUUUUUAAAGAUUCUUGGCAUACUGAAUCUGGAUGAAGAAAAACCUUUAAGGUAGCUGUAAAUUACUUAUAUAAACUCGCUUAAAUAUAUCCUGAUAAGUGCAAGUGAGACAAAUAAUGAAGGAAAGGGGAUACUUGUUGCUUAUUAUUAGGACCAGAUUGAUCUCAAGGAGACUAAAUAGAUGAAACAAAAAAGAGAGCAUAAGGGGUUUAGAAUUGGGGCAGCAUAUCCUUCCUGAAAAACAGAAUAUGAUUUUGUUCCUAUGAACUUAGAACACCCCCCUAAGGUAGAAAAGAAGGCUAGAAAACUUUCAGCUUUUUAGCUUGGGAUAGUAGGCCAGUGAAGUUUCCAAAACACUUUUUGGCAGACCUGCAUUGAGAAACAUGCUUCGUGUUUAGAUUCAUGGCUUGAAUAUGUCAAUCUGGUUUUUUUGGAAGGCCUAUCAGACACUUCUAUACAAUUCUUUCUUAGUAUUAAAAGGGACUUGUAAUUGCAUACGCAAGUUGGUAUUUGGUAAAAGUAUAUGAUUCAUAAGAAUUUUGUAACAAGUUAUGAAUUUUUGUUGCAAAAUAAAUAAAUAAAUAAAUAAAAUAUUUUCUUUCAUUAAAUGACAGCUAUUUCUUCAUCGGAAAUAAACUGUGAUUAUCUACUUCAGUUGAAUUCUCCUUACCUUGAUGUAAUCCUCCAAUUUAAAGUUCUAGAUUCUGUUCAUGCAUCAUUUCAGUGAAGCAUUUUGGUCUUCAAGGUAAUCGUUGUAUGUGGAGGAUCAUAUAGACGUGGAAAAGCUUCUUGUGGGGACCUGGACAUUGUAAUUACUCAUCCUGAUGGGGAAAGGUAACACAUGUAUCUUGACAUAUUUAUCGUGCAUAUUUAUAUUUUGGACAUGUUCAGCCUGGAAAUUUUCAUUCAGAUCGAAUACGAGGCAUGUGUAGGACCAUGAGCUGGUUCAUUACUGAAUCCUAGAUUUACCAUUAUAUUUUUUCAGAGGCUCAAGUUUCAUGUCCCAUGGAUGUUUGUUCUCUGUCUUGUAGGUUUAGGUGUAUUGAUAAACUUAAUCUCAUACUCCUCUCAAAAUGGUGAUAAAUUUAUCUGUUGGAUUAUCUUUUCAGAUUCCAUUUUACAUUUUUUAUUUUUUAAAAAUUUUGCCAUUUUGAUUAAAAUGUCCUGUAAAUAUAGUUGGUGCCAUCAUUCUGAUUCAUUAUGUGAUACAAUGCAAUUGUCUUGCAUAAUAUUUUGUCCAUGUAGGGUGUUCUGUUGAUUUUUGCACCUGCAGCACCAUUAUGGUCAUUUACUGGAUGUAGUGCACAAGUAGUGACAUGACUUUUACCCAGUGGAGUAUUUAUUGUUGAUUUUUUACGCAAAGAUAUUGCUAUUAAUUUUUUUUAUGUCAUGUAUUUCAUUUCUCUAGUAUAUAUCCAGUACAUGACAUGUUUCUAGUCAUACAUUUUCCUGCCUGGUAGCUAAAAUUGCCAAUUUAAAAUCUGUUAGUCAUGAAGAUGGCAAGUAGCAUGCACCAUCCAGUAUUGAAUGUUUUGUUUGUCAUCCGUUUGAAACAAGUUGUAAUAUUUUAUAUAAAUAUACCAACUUUGAAAUUUUAGUCCUUUGUUCCAUUGCAUUUGCACUCUAUUUUUAGGUGUGUUUACUAUACUUAUAUGACAUAUUGUUGACAUUUCAGUUUGUAAGGAAUUGAAAGAAUCAUUUCUUGUCGUUGCACCGAAAGUACAACUAUCACAAUCCAGGCCUGAUAGGAUAAUUGGCCUAUCAACUUUGUUUGGCUCAAACCAUUAGCCAAAAUACUUUAGCUGAAGUUGAUAGUAGUACAAUCAUCAGACCCUUAUAAGCCAAUCUUAGUCUUGCUCACUUUCGAUAUCGAACUAAUCGGGGGUGUUACAAUCUCUCCCACUCAAGGGCUUGACGUCCUCAUUAAGGCUCAGCAUAACUCAGAUCAAACCCUAGUAUAAUACAUGUGAGGCGUAGCUUAGUAGUGGCUCCAAGUCCUCUGACUCUAUCUAUGGGUAGCCCUUUCCUACUCGACCAUGCCCAAAUACUAGGUCAGCUCUGAUACCAAAUGUCACGACCCAGGCAUGAUAGGAUAACUAGCCUAUCAAUUUCGUUUGGUCUAAACCACUGGCUAAAAUACUUAAGCUGAAGUUGAUAAUAUUAGUAAUACACUCAUCAGAUCCGUAUAAGCCAAUAUUAGUUUUGCCAAUUUUCGAUGUGGGACUAAUCGGGGGUGUUACAACAACUACAAGAAUCACAAAAACAAUUACAACAAGGAUAUGACAACAACAUAAUAUCUAUGACAUCUACGGGCCAUAACUCCAUACUAUUUGGUGUUGGCUAUUUAGAUUCUUUUUUCUGUCAUUGAGCUUUAUUGAUAGCCACAUCACUAAUCAAACUAAGUCAUGUAUUAUACAUUAACAAUGGUCUUUUUAUUCAAAAAAUGAAAAUCUUUUCAUUCUUUUUUAGCUGAACUUUAAGUGAGACGGUCUAACAUGGCCACAAUUUUCUUUUUUUUUUCAGUCAUAAAGGAUUCUUACCCGGGUAUGUUCAAUAUUUGAAGGACAUUAACUUUUUAAGAGAAGACUUGGUAUUUAGCACUCAUAGCACUGAGGUAAGUGUUUAGCUUAUUUGCCUUAUUUUCUACUCCAUUUAUCCCAUCUUUUCGUUUAUUUGACAGUGUUCUAAACUAUCUGCUUGGGUCUGUAAUUUAUAUGAUAGAUAGUAAAGAUGCAUAGUGGUUACUUUAAGUUUAAGGUCUGUAAUUUCUGCUUGGGUGCAAGCACAAAGAGUAUAGCAAUAAAACUUUGAUUAAAUAUAAUAUCUUUGAGAGUUAAAAUAAUACAAACCUUUACCUUGAUUUCUUGCUUCUACUGGUCAUAUAUAUAGAACAUUUUUUUCAUAGGUUUAAUGCUCUAAGUGCUGUUGACACAUCUGUUUUGAACACGAAUCUGGUGCUUCAUCAUUUAUGUUGCCGUAUCUUUUAUUCACUUGCAAAGUACAACAUUAUCUUUCCUUGGUAAAAGGUUUAUUUUCAAUUUAAUAAGGUGAGGUUUUUGUGAUGAAUGACCAUCACAUACAGACACUUCAAAAUGACUAUGCUUAGAAUUUAGCUUUUGCAGAUGCACCCUCUUUAUCCCCCACUAUAUGUUUGAUACUGGGAUAAAUUAGCUGAAACUAAGCAACUUUAAAAGAUCUUGUACUGGGGACCUCAGGUGGGUUUUCUGGCAGUAGUUUCUAGAGCUACCAGAAUGUGAUCAAAUGAACAAUUUGGUAAGGCCAGUAGAACUGAUGAUGGGUUAUUGAAUGCUCAAUCCAAUGACGUCAAGAAUCUAUCAUGUUCACAUGAGGGGAAUUGUCUCACGUUACUUCAACUAUAUUCACAACCAGAUAAAGGUAGGCAAAGGAGAUCUUUUUUAAACAAAAUUUUUGAUGUCUUGGCUUGCUCUAAGAUUAUAUUUCUGGGGAUAUUUUCUGUUGAGAAUCUUAUUGUUUAUAAUUACGACUGAUUGCCUAUGGCUGGUCAUUCCACUUAUCAUCCAUUUUUUUGUUUAUAAUUUCUUCAAUUCUUUCAACAUUACUUUCUAGUUUCUUCAUCCUUGCGUUGUGAUCCAUAAAGAACUGAGAAUCAGCAAAAGUCAUCAUGCUUUGAGUAUAAUACAUAGCUAAAAAAAAAGCUAACUAUCCGGCUUGCUUGAUGCAAAAAUAAGCUUGAAUCCUGCAGUGGUCAACCCCCUUGAAGAUCCAUUAGCUGAUUUAGACACCUGGUCAAUUUUGGCUAUUAUCUUCAUAUUUGUUAUCCAUUUACUGCUUUGAAUAACCAAUCAUUUCUUCCGGGCUAUUAUCUUCAUUUUGUUCCAAGUAAGACAACAUAUGCAAUGCUACUAUUGUAAGUUGUCUAUAACAAAUAUAAAAGAAAUCAGCCUAGUGCCGCUUAUUUAACUGUGCUAAAUAUCUUAUGUUAUGGCACAAUCUGUGGAUUAAAAGUUGCUGGGAACUGUAUUUUUUAAUGAUAUAUGUACACUUAUUUUGAUGCAAUUAUGAAGAUGUUUCUCCUUGAACAUAACAUGGAAUGGCUUGUACUCCACUUGAUUUGUGGUUUCAGUUAGCUCUGAAUGGAUGGUAUAUUAAAGGAUAACAUGUUUGAUAGUUGAUACAAUGAUUGUUUAGUUUGGGUCACAUUGGAAUGUGACUUAAUAAGUAUGAUUCAUUGUGACAUAUUAUCUGUUAUAAUGUUAAUAACUACAUUAUUUAAGGUCAGCUCUGAUUUCUAAGCCAUGUAAUGCUGCAUUGACACUCUCUUAAUCUACCUUUUGUUGUUUUCAAAGUAUUGCAGGAUCUGUUUAUUCAUCAUUUAACUCGAACUAAUAUGCAGGGUACUGAUUCAGGGGUAGACACGUAUUUUGGUCUUUGCACAUAUCCUGGUAGAGAAUUGCGACAUCGGAUUGAUUUGAAGGUAAAGUUGCAAAAGUUUCUAAUGAAGAAAGAUGAGCUAUAUUUGUCAUUCUUUCCACGUAUUAUGACGUCGACAUUAUUAUCCAAGCCGUUUUGAGGAAUUACAUGAUCGAUCACUGUAGAUAAAUAUUUAAAUAUUUUUAUUUUAACAAAGAAUAUGAUUUUUUAUAUAAUUCAAAGUGGCAAAAGAUUCAUCUAGUUGAUCCUAAAUCAAGGUUCAUCAUACCGUGGCGUGCUGCUUAGUACAGGUGUUAUGUAUCAGUUCGACAAGGGACUGGUAUAGGCAAUAUAUACCGGUAUGUCUGUUUGCCCCAUCAUACUAUAUGUUGGUAUGUCAGUACGACUCAGUACGUAUUGUACUGACAGUCGGUCAGUAUAUCGGUAUGAACUAGUAAGGCGAACCGUGCCCUAAACAGUUGGAACUUUAUGGCUAUGUUGUUGUUGUUAUUGGUUUGUAUUAGAGGCCUAAUAAUCCUAUGUAUGUUAGGUAAAUUAAGACUAAAACAGAACUUGUUGUAAAGGCUGUGCUAGUUGGAGUAUAUCUACUUAUGCUGAUAGAUACCAUGAGAUUUUAAGAUCCUUAAUGGAGACCAGAAAAAAGUGUAAAGAAGAAUGUGGACAAUUGAAAUUUAAAUUAUCAGCAAAGAUACACAAUACAGGGAACCAGGGAGUAACUUCAACAAGAAAUAUUGGCAAAGAUGAACAAAUUCAAUAUUGUUGAGAGCAGUGAAAAGUUACUUCCAAUCCAUCAUCUUAUUAGCUAAGUGUGAUAAAAUCAUCAUAGCAACACGGUGAACUACUGUUACCAACAGUGUGUAACUCGUGACUUCCAUUUUCCAUGGUGGAUCUUCAUUUUAUGGAGAUGUUCAGAAUUGGUUCUUCAUGCUUGAAUCACCAUCUAAUAUUAAAUCUUCACAUUCUAGAUAUUUGGCAUUGAAGAAACUCAAAGUUAGUUCUGCUGGUUUCUCAAUGUGUUCAAUUAUCUUAUCAGUUUGUUGUUGUCGAUGCUUUUGCUGAUCAUGAGGUAUGAAUUGUUUACAAUAACAAGCCAUAAUACCCUAACAAAGGUUUUCAGUCUUGAGUUACCAGUACCGAUCAUUGAGAGGGAGGGAGAUCAGGUACCUGAUAUUAAACUGCAGUAGUCUCUGGAUACGAGGGACUGCAAUCCUUAAGAGUUGAGAACAGGAAGCUUUGGUGAUGGAAUAGGACAGUAAAUGACUAACAAGAAGAUUUGCCUCAAAAAAGAAGAGACGAAAAAUAGAAGAUAGCAUGUAUACAAUCUCCAUCAAGGAGAAUGUUUCAUCCUAGGUAGGUAAAGUCUACUUCGCUUUCUGUUGGCCACCAAAUUAUUAAUCCCCCAAACAAAGUACUCAGAUUCUAGAUGGCUCCAAUUUUUCAUUUCAAAAUGACUAUUUGGACGGACUUCUAUCAAAGUAUCACAUGAUUGUGAACUCUCAAUUUGUCAAUCCCCAAAGCAAGUUUGCAAGUUUCCUAUAGAUCCGAAAGAUAGACACUUGUAUUGUGUCUUAUAAAGCCUAUUUGUAUUCAUGAGCUAACUAAGUUUGAGUAUACUUUGUGUUUGCAGGUGUAUCCAAAGGAUCGAUAUGCUUUUGGACUAAUAGCAUGGACUGGAAAUGAUGUACUAAAUAGGCGGUAAGUAUCUAAUCUUUUUAUGAACUGGAAUAGUAUAGUUUAUUGAUCUUCCAUAGAACAUGAAUUGAUAAUUCUCAAAACUAGACUUUUGAAUUCUUGAAACUAGAAAUAUUGUGUUUUUGACCUUUGGUGUACAUUGCUCAUGCACUGCUAUAGAACAAUAAAAAAAUUUUAAUUUAUCAAAAGUCUAGAUGUCCUGUUUACGUGUACCUGAAUGUUGUCUUAUCUCAAUGUAAAGCAUGUAGUCACUCGUGAAUAUUAAUUUUUUUUUUUAAAUAUAUAAUUAAGGAGAAAUAUGAUCACUAAAAUAAAAAGGAGACAAUACGAGUUUCAUAUCAUUUUAUAUUCCAAAUAUCACCGUUAAACAAUCAAAUUAGAUUUGUUUAAAAUUCCAAAGUACUAUGUUGUCCAAAUCUAAUAACAAAAAUGAGAAAAUAAAACAAAAAUAAAAUUAACAUCAAUCAUCAUCAAAUUCCACUUCAUCAUCCUUAACAUUCAUAAUUUUGUCAUCAUCUUCCUUUUCAACUCAUUUGUAUCUCUCAAGCUCCUCUUAGGUGAUGAACUUAAAGCAUUUGCUCUCAUCUUUGGUUUUGUGAGAUGUCUUGUGUAUGUUCUUACUUCUCCAACACCCAAAGCUCUUGCUACAUGUCCCUAUAUCAAACUGUAAUAAUAAAAAACAAUGUUCAUUUGAAUUAUGGAUAUCAUAUAACGAAAUCAGAUCAAUGCUAUCCCACAAAUUACAAUGGGUCUGGAGUGCUUGAUAUACUUUAUAUAUAGAUAAGAUUAUGUAGUAGUUGAAGCUCUGACCGAUACUUUAUAUAUAGAUAAGAUGAUGUGCUUGAUCAAUGCUAUCCCCAAGUUCUUUUUGCCCCUUUGUUUAACAUGUAUUCGUAAGUAUUUCCAUUUAUUUCUUUUGAAUACAUAAUUGAGGCAGUGCAUCUUCCUGCAAACAAAAGGGUGAUGCCCUUUACAGUGCAUGUUCAUUUUGUAUAUUGAACAUGAUGUGAUGUAUUUGGAUUUCAUAUCUGUCCUGCCUUGGGAUUUUAGAGAUCUCAAAACAAAUGGCACGAGGCACGAUUUUUUCCUUUUUUCUGAAAUGAUUGCUUUUGCUUUGCAAGUUCAAAUGGUGAAAAAUGGUAACAUAACCAAGUCACCAAAAAGAAGUUAAGUUUCUUUCUAUUUGUCUAUCGGGAUUCAAUUUCUUCUUUGGCGGAUAUUCAUAGGUUGGGAAGAGUUCUUUUUCCUGCUUGUAGGAUUUGCUUUUUUCAUCUAAAACAUAUAUUGUUGUUGAACAACACAUGCUGCAGGUUGAGGUUGUUAGCAGAAUCCAAGGGAUACAGGCUCGACGACACGGGACUGUACUUGGCCACCCAGGGUUCUCCUGGAAAGAGAGUAAGUAAACGUAGCUGCUUUCUCAUGAGAAGCAAAACCAUAUAUGUUUCUAGAUUAAUUAUUAUUUUUUCGUUAUAUAAACUGCUACACGGAUUCGAACAUGAGACCUAUGUCUAUAUAACAAUAUACUAACCAUGAGGAAGUCUCAACAGCAAUAAAAGCUGCACAAUUUGGCAUGCAUGACCCAAAUUCCUUUCUUGCUUUGCAGGGGACCAAAUCCAGCACCAGAGUAAGCUGUUACACGGAGAAGGAGGUGUUUGAUGUACUUGGGUUCCCUUGGCCGGAACCUCAUGAGAGGAAUAUGUGACUUCACUUGCUUGAACCCUUUUGUGUACAUGUCUACUGUCUUUCUUGGGUAUCUUUUCCUUUUUGACUUUGUUUCAUAUGUGCAUUUGUAAAAGUUAGAAAGAAACGAAGAUGCCAUCCGGUUUUGUCACAGCCGUUAUCCAUGUUUUUCGUUGAUUGUUUCAUUUGAAGGUGUGGUGAACUUAACAUAUUUGCUCUUCUAAUAUUAUGGAUAUAUUAAUAUAUAUCCCAUCAGAUAUUUAAAUAUCUCAUGCAUGCUAUUCCUGUCAAGUGUUCAUCAAACAAAUCCAGGUUCAUGGCUAUUAACGACGGUUGUAGGUGAGUUUUAAAUAUAUUAAAAAUUAAAGUGCUUUAAAUAAUUUUUAGUAUUUUUAUCAAAAAUAUGAAGGGUAAAAUUUUGAAAAAAGUUCUUAUAUUAUAGGAAUUUUUGCAAAGCACUUCAAUUUUAAAAAAAUUUCUCUUGCCCAUGCGAAUAGAUUAUUUUAUCUCAUCAUUGUCGCCCUUGCAUCGUCGCCUUUAUCCUAUGUUGUGGUUGACCCAUUGGAUGUGCUUGCUCAUAUCGCUCUCGUGUGAGGAAGGAAGAGGCAUGAUGAUGACAAUGUUUUGUCGCCGUUGUGUAAGAUGAGGUUAUGUGGGUGGCAAGGUAGGGGGUGGCUCAUUGUCAUCAUUAGGCCUAAUGGGAUUGUUGCACCUUUGUUGAUUAGCAUGUAUGGUGGAGAUGAAAGCGGCACGAUAUGUAUGAGAGGAGAGAAGGUGAUGCAAGGUGAUGGUGUACGACGAAGGCGAGUCCCGAGGGAGGAGGAUUGGUAGUGUAGGGCGAAGGUGGGUCCCGAGGGAGAACGAAGAGGGGGAGGGAAUAGAAUUAUAAUGGUGUUUACAUGUGAAGUUUUACGAGGAUACGUGAAAAUCAUUAAUUUUUAAAAAAAUAUAUAUAAUUUUAUGUUAAUUUUUUUAUAAGUUUAUAAUUUAAUAUUCUAUCAAUUCACGUUCUCCUCGAAAUUAAAAUACUUAAUGACACGAUUGAUGUCCGUAAAAUUUGCGCUUGAUGGAAAAAAAAAUCUGAUUAUAAAGUGAGAUAAUAUAAAAUUCUAUCAUGUAUAUUCUUUUCUUAUUAAUUUAAUGCAGGACGUAACAUUUAAGUUUAACAAAUAUCUAAUGAACGAUAUACCAUUUAUAAUUUCGUGAGAAGAAAUAAAGAAGUAGUAAGUGGAUUUUGGGACUCGAAUGAAGAUUGUGCAAAUAUCGAGGGGUUUAUAUGUAAAUAACAUAUAGAAGAAGGGCGUAAAAGGAAAUUUCCGUUUCUUUUCAUUUAUUUUCAUUAAAGCCCCCCUUUUGUCCUUCAUUCUGUAAGCUGAAGUGAAAUUUAGAAUGUUGGUGGACUUUUUGGACAAGAUGCAAGAUUUCCCAGUAUCUUAUUGGGAAAUCUUGUCGGCUUCGGUGUCCAACACCGGACUGGUCAUUCCUCCAUGGCUGCUGCUGCUUCUGCUGUGAUUGCGCUGGUAUCUUCUCCUCUUCUCAUUCCUCCCCCUAAAUCAAACGCCCCUCCUCCUCCCUUCCCUUCCCUCUUCCACCGCCCCGUCCCAUGCCCCUCACUACCUCUUUCCCCUUCUCGCCUAUCAUCUCCAAGAUUCCACCGCUCCAUCCCUUUGAAGCGAGCCCCUCAUCGCGGGAACCGAUUCACUUGCAGGGCCGCGGAGUACAAGUUCCCCGACCCGAUUCCUGACUUCGCUGCAGCCGUAUGUUCUCCACCCCCUUCGUGUGUUAGUUCUUUUGGUUUUGUUGAUCUUGCUGGUAAAUUUGCUUUUGGUUCAGGAGACAGACAGGUUCAGGACGCAUAUGCUCGAGAGGCUGACGAAGAAGAAAGAGCACUUUGGAGAUUCUGUCGGGGAAGUUGUCGAUGUCUGCACUGAGGUUAAGAACUAUCCCAUUAUGAUCGAUUGAAGUCACAGAACUUUGUCCCCCUUCUGUAGCUAAAAGUUUAGAACUUGUUCUUGCUGCUGUUGUUAAGAGCAAUUCUUUUGCGUGUGCUUUAUUAUCAACCUUUACUGUUAACUGGUAGAACUGCUUACACGUAUGUAUUGGGGAACAGAAUGCACCUUAGAGGUUUUUUGAAUCCUAUAUAUGUGUACGUAUGUAAAGUAAAUGUAAAUGAGAGUAGAAUAUAAACGAAAAAGGCCUUUCAUAAUGGAGACAGCUAUCGUGUGACAAGGAAGUACAGCAUAAUAUGUUGAAAGUAGGUGUUGAUUAGUUGUAGAAUGAGAAAGACAGAAGAAAGAAAAUAUGGAGUCACACAAUGAUUAACAUAAUACACUGAGAGGUAUAAUCCCAUUGAAUUGUAGCACCAGACAUGCUGGUUGUUGCUUAAUUCAAUUUUGUAAACAAUCUAGAUAUACAAUGAUUCGUUGCUUAGGAUAUUGUGUUUUUUGUGUUUUUUUAUCUUAGGAACACUUUCAGCAAUGCUAUGCCAUUAAUUUAGGAUGUUGCAUUUUUGUGUUUGGGACAUUUUCAGCAACACUAUGCCCUUAAUUUUACAUUUCGACUAGGUGUGGGCUAUUAUGAGGGUGGUUCAGUAGUCACGUUAGCUUCAUAACAAAUAGCUGAUACAAUCAUCAAAAGAAUAUGAAGGUAAAAAAGGGUGUAUCCAAUAUAUGGGGCUCUUGCCAAUGCGGGGUCUGGGGAGGAUCAAUGUUAAAAAAAUAUGAAGGUGACUUGAGUCAAAGCUUACCUGAGUCAGGAAAAUGAGCUUCAUUUCCAGUAUCAAAACCCUUUUCCAUGAUUAAUAAGAUAUCACAAUAGAGAUCAAUUAUGACAAAGGAUGCACCCUCUUUGAGUUUGUAAUGAUGAAUUGUACUCGUGUCUCAUGUUUAACCAAAAUCUGAACCAUACUGCAUUUGCUGGAAUUACUUCCUGCUCAUGCUUGGUUGUCCUCAGAGGUUUCUGACCUACCAAUGUGUCUAGGAGAGAGAUGCCAAAGCAGUAUAGUGCUACUGAUAACUCAAAUUGGACAUUUCACUGCACAAGAAUCAAGAUUGGAUGCGCAUAUAUGAUUCGUGAACUGACCUCUCACGACCCCAUUGUUGUGCCUAAUUGGUUGUACUUAAGAAUAUAAGAAUGAAAUGUUUUUGAUCUUAAAAGGUGAAACAUCUAAGGUUGGUGGCUUGACCAAGGUUUCCAGGAGGUGUGAAUGCAAAGGAAGACUCAAAAAAAUAAAAAGAAAAGCUAUGUUUUAAUAAAAAGUUGGUGAGAAUAUAUAUUGUUUUUCAUAUUUGGAUUUUAUGGAAUUUAAAAGACAAGCAUGAGAUUGACAUUGGUAUGUGACACUAGAUAUCGACAUAUGAACAAGGAUUGCAAUUUCAGGUUCCGGACCCUUAACAGUGACUUGGACAGACCUAUAUGUACCGGUUGGUAUUAGCACAUUGACACAUGGUACACCGAUAUGUACUAGUGACUUAAAGAGGAAGAAGAAGGAGAAGAGAAAGGGGUAGUGGAGGAAGAGGAGGAAGGAGGAGGAAAGAAGAGGGAGGAAGAAGAGAAGGUAGUGGAGGGAAUAAGGAGGAAGAGGAUGGAAGAAGAGGUGGUGGUGGAAGAGAAGGAAGAAAGAGAGAAGGCGGUGAGUAAGAAGGAAGGAAGAGGAGGAAGCGUACCCGUCGGCGAUGGGUGGCGGGUAAUGACAACAUGAGGAGGUGAAACAACUUGCGGAGGGCUCGCGAUACUUAUAAGUUUUAAUUUUUUUUUAACGGGUCAAAGCGGGCCACCCGAAAUGGGGGCAGUCCACGUGCCAGUUCAUGCCUGAACCAAUACAUAUCGCCUACCUGCUUGGUAUCAGUGUGGGCAAAAGAGUUUAACAUAUUAUUGAAGUCUUGUAAUUGAAAAUGGUUGGUAAUUUAAAUAUUGUUGUGAUUGUUUCAUGGUUUGUUGAGAAGUAUGUAGUUACUGUAUAAGCUUUUGUUGUUUUGUUUUGGGCAUAUGGUCCUCGAGAUCAUACACUCCUAAUAAUGGUAAAUAUAUCAACCUUAACCUUUUCAUACUGAAAGUCAGUGUCAUCACUCUCGGUCUGGGAUUACUACCUAAUUUAGAGUUUCCUCAUGUCAAAGGUGAUGCAAAAUCUUGACAGUUGACACAGAAACAAACAAAAAGCUCGGGGGCUCCAGCCAUGGUUAUUAUAGGAUUGACUCAUGUAUGGAUUUAUAUGAUUAAUCCGACUGAUAAAUUGGUUGGUUUCAGGUGCAUCUGACUUGGAGUUUUCUUGGUGCAUGUUAGUUGUAUCAUGUAAACAUUUGAAUACUUACCAUUAGUGGAUUGACUGUUGUUAGUUUAUCACACUUGAUUUGUUUAAGCAAGGUCAAGUUGAGUUGACCAUAGAUCUAUAUAUCAUAUUUUACAACACCUUGUCCUAUCUAUUCACUAAGUAGUCUACGCUAGUCAGGCAAUGUUAUCAAUAAUUGUACGUGUUGUUUUUUAUUUUAGUAUUGUGGUAUAAUUAACACACAGAAGUAUUCUGAAGAAGGGAAUCUCUAGAAACAAAGACAUGCAUAAUUAGCUUCAAAAUGGAGUGAUUGAAUGCCACUUGCCAGCCAACCAAAGUUAUCCUAAUUUCUUAGUCUGUAGCCAUGGAAGAAAAAAGGUUCUUGAAAAACAAAAGGAGGUUGAUGAUAGAAGCUUGAUCCAAAUGCAAAACAUCACAUGAAUCAAGUGUUGGAAGCAACCUGGGGUUGGACUGUGAGCAGCAUGGUGGUUUUAGUUUACAAAUUGAAGUUUCUAGGAUUUCUGAGGAAACAGUGAUGGUUAUCCAUAGUAUUAAAGUGAAUGACUUUUAUACUAGAUUGUAACACCGGUUUACAUAUACAUGGUUCACAGAAUCCUAUGCUAGAUUGUAUUACCAGCUUCAAUACUAGAUUGUAUAGAAGCAUGUAUUUACCAGCCUAAUCCAUAAUGUAUAAGUACAUGAUAGAUAACUGUAGAAACACUUGUUUCAUGAAAAUGAAUUUAAAAUGUCUAAGUGCUGGUUGGUAUGUGCUACGAUGUGUGUUGGAAGAAUUAUAUUUGGGGGUUCCUAUUGUAUCAUUGUACCUCCAUUCAUGCAAAUGAAGCACCCCUAAUAAUUACCACUCAUGGAUGCAGGCCUAUAUGUCAAACCAUAUAAAUAUAUGUGUAAUGAGUAUGAGCAUAUAAAUACUUGUUCUACAACCAUAGAUAUACUUGUGCUGCAUGAUUCUGUGAUUGUUGUCUCGCGCUUCUCUUCUUUCUUAUCCUUGGUGUGAGUUGAACAUCUAAACUAGAAAAAUGAAAAUGAUACAGAUAGUUUCCACUGAUACGAGUAAAAUCAAUAUAGAAUAAGAGAAGCACCCAUGGUUUUCUAUCCUCUUCUAAUAUGAACAUUUACAAACUAUCAAAACUUAGAUCUGCUAAUCCUCCUCAAUGUUUCACUAAACAACACACCGGCAGCUGGAUUUUAUCUUCUCGUAAAUGACAAGUCAAUACAUUGAUUGUUACUUUGCUUUCAUAUUUUCCUUGAAUGUGAUAUAAUCAUUCUCAUAGUGUGGUCAAUAUUUUUUUAACUCAAGUCAGCUUUUUCAUUGCUGUAAUUGUAGGCUUCCUGUUUUUUUUUUCCUGUCACUUCCUCCAUGAGAAGGAUUUACCAGCAUGCCGGUAACUAACGGAUUCUAUUUAUCCACAAGUAAACCUCACACCAUAUUGGUUUUGCUGCAGAUCUUGAGCAACUUCUUGCAUACAGAAUAUGGUGGCCCAGGGACACUCCUGGUCAUUCCGUUCAUCGACAUGGCUGAUACACUUAGAGAGAAGGGGCUUCCCGGAGCUCCUCAAGCGGCACGUGCUGCAAUAGUUUGGGCCCAAAAGCACGUUGACGAAGAUUGGAAUGAAUGGACAGUUGGCGAAGAUUCAGACUUGGAUUAGUUUUUACAAUGAAUAGAUUAGAGUUUCAUGUUCGUAGUCAGUCUUACGGAAGGUGUUUGAUCUUGAAUUGCAAAAAUGGCAUGCCACCGUAUGAUGAACAAGAAUCAAUCAAGGAUUAUGUACUUCUAGAUGAUGGAGUGUCAGGGGUAGUCUAACCAUGGAUGUAGGGUUUUGUUGAGUCAUUUUGUGGCUUUUUGUCCCUGUAUGUUUGAGGAUGAGUGGUGAUACACAAAUCAUAUUCUGUUAGAAUUAAUCAUGAGUUGAUGCUCACGCAGUUGGAUUUUGCUUGUGAACUUAAGUCUUCAUCAAGCCUUUUAUAUAUAUAUAUAUAUAUAUAUAUAUAUAUAUAUAUAUAUAUAUAUAUAUAUAUAUAUNNNNNNNNNNNNNNNNNNNNNNNNNNNNNNNNNNNNNNNNNNNNNNNNNNNNNNNNNNNNNNNNNNNNNNNNNNNNNNNNNNNNNNNNNNNNNNNNNNNNNNNNNNNNNNNNNNNNNNNNNNNNNNNNNNNNNNNNNNNNNNNNNNNNNNNNNNNNNNNNNNNNNNNAAUAUUUCAUCCAAAGGCAAAAUAGAGAUGAUAGUAAUUGUUUAAUAUUUAUUAAAAAAAUAAAAAUAUUAUUUUAUUUUAUUUUAUUUUAUUUUAUUUUAUUAUAGUGAUAUUUUUGUCAAUAUAUUUUUGUAAAUAUUUUUUUAUUUUUGAAUUAAAUUAUUAUAAAUGAAAGUAUAUAUAAUUUACAUUGAGUGUAUUAGGUUUUGAUCAUACUAAUUACUGAAAAUUACGGGAAACAAAUAAUUGAGAUAAAUGAUUGAGAAAAGUCUAAAAGACUUAGCUUUAUGAUAAUUCAUAAUAAUAUUUAGAUUUCAUUAUAGUCUACAACUAACAUAUUUGAAUGUUUUAAAGAUAAAUUUAAAUUUACUAACAAGCCAUUAACUAACAUAUUAAUAAAAGAAUUGAUUGAAAUUAAGUAUAAUAGUAUUUGAGAAACUCAAAAAUAUAUCCUCAAUAUGUAUGACAAAGCUGUAACCAUAAAAAAAUUAUAUAAAUAUAAUUAAGUUUUUUUUGUACAAUUUAUUUUUAAUUAUAUUUCUUCUUAGUUUGAUUCAUUUAAAAUUUAUUAUAAUAAAAUUAAGGAUAGUGAAACCAGUUUGCUAGCAUAUAUGUUUAGAAAGAAUUAAAAUUAAAGUAAGAAAUACUCAUAAUAUAUUAUUCAAGAAGUAAUAAUAAAAGAAAGUUGAAGCGUAAAUCACUCAAGUUUUUAAAUACUAUAUAAACUCAUAAAAAAAAACUUCAUAGUAAAGUGUUAUUUUUAUGGUAAGAAAGAUGUGAAAAAAGGAUUAUAAGAUUUUGGUUCGAAAGGAAAAGAUAUAAGUUUGACCUUUGUAUGUUU